RNA transcript from Cygnus olor (mute swan), 1841 nucleotides. It is a transcript of the gene named prostatic acid phosphatase-like, with no coding region annotated. Lineage: Eukaryota; Metazoa; Chordata; Aves; Anseriformes; Anatidae. The record is from RefSeq and is a predicted model, not a curated record. The transcript is spliced from 12 exons.
UCCACCCCUUUUGAAGUACAGCCUCGCGUCUGGGCUGUUCAGCCUGAACAGCUGCUGGAGCUACAAAGCCUUUUUUCAUCUGCUGCCAGGAUGAGAGUGAUACAGCUUCCCAACCCAUCUAGGAUUCCGUGUUUUGCUUUCUAUAUUAUCUUCACCCUGCUUCAGCAGGCUACCACAGAAAGAGAACUGAAGUUUGUGGCUGUAGUUUUCCGACAUGGUGACAGAACGCCAAUUGUAAACUUUCCAACUGAUCUACACAAAGAAAGUGAAUGGCCCCAAGGAUUUGGACAACUUACCAAGACUGGAAUGCAGCAGCUGUAUGAACUUGGACAGUACGUGAGGAAGAGAUAUUCCAACUUUCUGAACAGCACAUACAACCGGAAAGAGUUUUAUAUCCAAAGUACAGAUUAUGAUCGCACAAUUAUGAGUGCCCAGUCAUACCUAUCUGGCCUCUUUCCACCAACUAGCAGCCAAAUUUGGAACCCUGAGCUUCUCUGGCAACCCAUUCCUGUUCAUAUUGUGCCAAAAGCAACAGAUAGGAGGUUGCAUUUUCCUCUGAGUGAUUGUCCCCGUUUUGAUGAACUUCAGAAUGAAACCCAAACAUCUACUGAAUUUCAAAGUAGAAUACAACCAUACAUGGAUUUUUUACAAACAAUGGCAGUUAACACAGGACUUGAACUAAAUCAUCUUAAAAUACUUGACAAUUUCCAGCUCUGGAAUACAUAUGAUACACUAUACUGUGAGGGUAUUCACAAUUAUUCUCUCCCUGUAUGGGCCACCAAAGAUGUAGUGGACAAGAUGGAAAAACUGGCAGAAUUGUCCUUAUUAUCCCUGUUUGGGGUUUAUAAAACAGAAGAGAAAUCACGACUACAAGGAGGUGUCCUUGUGAAUAUUAUUCUAAAUAGUUUUAAACAAGCUGCCAAUUCUUCAAAAGAAAGAAAAAUGGAGGUCUACUCUGCUCAUGACACCACGAUUGGGGCCCUCCAGAUCGCUCUCAAUAUUUUCAAUGGAAAACUGCCACCAUAUGCUGCUUGUCAGUUUUUUGAACUCUACCAAGAAAGCAGUGGGCAGUAUAGCAUUGAAAUGCAUUAUCGGAAUGACUCUUCAAAGGACCCUUACCUACUCACUCUGCCAGGAUGCACCUCUUCUUGCCCACUUGAGAAGUUCACUGAAUUAGUUUCUCCUAUAAUUACGGAAAGCUGGUCGAAAGAAUGUGGGAAAAAAGACAAAACAAAAGAUAUUUUUAUCGGAUUUGUUGUUGCUGUUGGCUUGUUGUUCAUUUUUGACCUUAUACUGCUCUACCUCCUUUAUCAUUAUGGACGCUGCAGGCACAGAAACAAUUACCAAGACAUUUAAAGGAGAGGUGAAGAAAUGGGAGAGAGAGCAGCUAGACAUCAGACAACUCUUUAAGUCGCUCCGUCCUGCAGAGGAUACUGUGACUUACAUUACUGUGGAGAAGCCUUUCUAAAAAUCAAGACAUCUAUACAGACAGGUGCCAACAUCAAGUUCAGCCUGACAGACACAAUGAGCAAUCAUGUGCUCGAGCUGAUGAGUCCUAUUCAGGUACAGAAGCCUAGAAAAAGCUGAGAUUGAGCUGCUUUAGCUCACACGUAGCAUCACAUCAGUGUGGAUAUGCUGUUUUUGGACUGACUUUGACUCACAUCUGUGGGUUGCAAUUUGAAGCACAGGACCUUGGGUGAAGUACCUCUGAUCUACAGAGACCUGCCCUCAAUAUUACAGCAAUGGACACAUUUAAAAUGUGAUAUUGUUAGAUGUAUGGAUUUUAAAUAGCAAAAAUCAAGCAGAAAAGCAAAAACUUGUGGAAAUAAAGUAUUUUCCAA